AGAUAGCAGGUUGAUUGGCAUGUUGGACCCUGUGAACACUGGGUACUGGAACUGAAAGCCUGGGACAUUUGAGACGUGAUGUGACUCGCCAAGGGCAUUUGCUGAAAUCAGAAAGAGAACCAAGUGGAAGUUGUUGAUCUUUUUGUAAAUAUAUUGUUUAAAUUCAUGAGUAUUAUUUUUAAUAAAUUAGCAAAAAA
Salvelinus namaycush (lake trout) is the source of this 197-nucleotide long non-coding RNA. RefSeq lists it as uncharacterized. The transcript has 2 exons. The record is from RefSeq and is a predicted model, not a curated record. Lineage: Eukaryota; Metazoa; Chordata; Actinopteri; Salmoniformes; Salmonidae.